CCUACGGGUGGCAGCAGUGGGGAAUAUUGGACAAUGGGCGCAAGCCUGAUCCAGCAAUGCCGCGUGUGUGAAGAAGGCCUUCGGGUUGUAAACCUUAGGAACCUGGUACACGGUACCUGAGGAAUAAGCACCGGCUAACUCCGUGCCAGCAGCCGCGGUAAUACGGAGGGAGCAAGCGUUAAUCGGAAUUACUGGGCGUAAAGGGUGCGUAGGCGGUUAUUUAAGUCUGUUGUGAAAUCCCCGGGCUCAACCUGGGAAUGGCAAUGGAUACUGGGUAGCUAGAGUGUGUCAGAGGAUGGUGGAAUUCCCGGUGUAGCGGUGAAAUGCGUAGAGAUCGGGAGGAACAUCAGUGGCGAAGGCGGCCAUCUGGGACAAACUGACGCUGAAGCACGAAAGCGUGGGGAGCAAACAGGAUUAGAUACCCUAGUAGUC
Molecule: ribosomal RNA, 432 nt
Filed under: uncultured bacterium
Lineage: Bacteria
Description: partial 16S ribosomal RNA
Rfam family: Bacterial small subunit ribosomal RNA
Source: RNAcentral